Molecule: ribosomal RNA, 173 nt
Filed under: uncultured Peptococcaceae bacterium
Lineage: Bacteria; Bacillati; Bacillota; Clostridia; Eubacteriales; Peptococcaceae
Description: partial 16S ribosomal RNA
Rfam family: Bacterial small subunit ribosomal RNA
Source: RNAcentral
GGGCUACACACGUGCUACAAUGGUCGGUACAGAGGGCAGCGAAGCCGCGAGUGGAGCGAAUCCCAAAAAGCCGAAUACUCAGUUCGGAUUGCAGGCUGCAAUUCGCCUGCAUGAAGUCGGAAUCGCUAGUAAUCGCGAGUCAGCACAUCGCGGUGAAUACGUUCCCGGGUCUU